UACGUAGGGUGCGAGCGUUGUCCGGAAUUAUUGGGCGUAAAGGGCUCGUAGGCGGUUUGUCGCGUCGGGAGUGAAAACCAUGGGCUUAACUCAUGGCUUGCUUUCGAUACGGGCAGACUAGAGGUAUGCAGGGGAGAACGGAAUUCCUGGUGUAGCGGUGAAAUGCGUAGAUAUCAGGAGGAACACCGGUGGCGAAGGCGGUUCUCUGGGCAUGACCUGACGCUGAGGAGCGAAAGUGUGGGGAGCGAACAGG
Molecule: ribosomal RNA, 253 nt
Filed under: uncultured bacterium
Lineage: Bacteria
Description: partial 16S ribosomal RNA
Rfam family: Bacterial small subunit ribosomal RNA
Source: RNAcentral